GCAUUGGUGGUUCAGUAGUAGAACUCUUGUCUCCCAUGUGGGAGACCCAGGUUCAACUCCUGGCCAGUGCA
This 71-nucleotide transfer RNA is filed under the name Procavia capensis (Cape rock hyrax). RNAcentral describes it as "tRNA-Gly (CCC) (tRNA-Gly-CCC-8-1)". It matches the Rfam family "tRNA". Rfam says of the family: Transfer RNA (tRNA) molecules are approximately 80 nucleotides in length. The record is from RNAcentral. Lineage: Eukaryota; Metazoa; Chordata; Mammalia; Hyracoidea; Procaviidae.